RNAcentral lists this ribosomal RNA (406 nucleotides) under uncultured bacterium. RNAcentral's name for it is "partial 16S ribosomal RNA". It matches the Rfam family "Bacterial small subunit ribosomal RNA", at positions 30 to 526 of the family's 1533-position model. The record is from RNAcentral.
AUUGAACGCUGGCGGCAGGCUUAACACAUGCAAGUCGAGCGAGCGGCGGACGGGUGAGUAAUUUCUGGGAAACUGCCUGAUGGAGGGGGAUAACUACUGUAAACGGUAGCUAAUACCGCUUACCUUCCGAUGUGCCCUGAUUGGAUUAGCUAGUAGGUGGGGUAAUGGCUCACCUAGGCGACGAUCCCUAGCUGGUCUGAGAGGAUGACCGGCCACACGGGAACUGAGACACGGUCCAGACUCCUACGGGAGGCAGCAGUGGGGAAUAUUGCACAAUGGGCGAAAGCCUGACGCAGCCAUGCCGCGUGAGUGAAGAAGGCCUUCGGGUUGUAAAGCUAUGUCAGCGAGGAGGCGUUACUCAAAGAAGAAGCAACGGCUAACUACGUGCCAGCCGCCGCGGUAAUAC